RNAcentral lists this ribosomal RNA (432 nucleotides) under uncultured bacterium. RNAcentral's name for it is "partial 16S ribosomal RNA". It matches the Rfam family "Bacterial small subunit ribosomal RNA", at positions 29 to 507 of the family's 1533-position model. The record is from RNAcentral.
AACGAACGCUGGCGGCAGGCCUAACACAUGCAAGUCGAGCGAGACCUUCGGGUCUAGCGGCGGACGGGUGAGUAACGCGUGGGAACGUGCCCUUUUCUGCGGAAUAGCCUCGGGAAACUGAGCGUAAUACCGCAUACGCCCUUUGGGGGAAAGAUUUAUCGGAAAAGGAUCGGCCCGCGUUGGAUUAGGUAGUUGGUGGGUAAUGGCCUACCAAGCCUACGAUCCAUAGCUGGUUUGAGAGGAUGAUCAGCCACACUGGGACUGAGACACGGCCCAGACUCCUACGGGAGGCAGCAGUGGGGAAUCUUAGACAAUGGGGGCAACCCUGAUCUAGCCAUGCCGCGUGAGUGAUGAAGGCCUUAGGGUUGUAAAGCUCUUUCAGCUGGGAAGAUAAUGACGGUACCAGCAGAAGAAGCCCCGGCUAACUCCGUG